Molecule: ribosomal RNA, 2905 nt
Filed under: Escherichia coli
Lineage: Bacteria; Pseudomonadati; Pseudomonadota; Gammaproteobacteria; Enterobacterales; Enterobacteriaceae
Description: 23S ribosomal RNA
Rfam family: Bacterial large subunit ribosomal RNA
Source: RNAcentral
GGUUAAGCGACUAAGCGUACACGGUGGAUGCCCUGGCAGUCAGAGGCGAUGAAGGACGUGCUAAUCUGCGAUAAGCGUCGGUAAGGUGAUAUGAACCGUUAUAACCGGCGAUUUCCGAAUGGGGAAACCCAGUGUGUUUCGACACACUAUCAUUAACUGAAUCCAUAGGUUAAUGAGGCGAACCGGGGGAACUGAAACAUCUAAGUACCCCGAGGAAAAGAAAUCAACCGAGAUUCCCCCAGUAGCGGCGAGCGAACGGGGAGGAGCCCAGAGCCUGAAUCAGUGUGUGUGUUAGUGGAAGCGUCUGGAAAGGCGCGCGAUACAGGGUGACAGCCCCGUACACAAAAAUGCACAUAUUGUGAGCUCGAUGAGUAGGGCGGGACACGUGGUAUCCUGUCUGAAUAUGGGGGGACCAUCCUCCAAGGCUAAAUACUCCUGACUGACCGAUAGUGAACCAGUACCGUGAGGGAAAGGCGAAAAGAACCCCGGCGAGGGGAGUGAAAAAGAACCUGAAACCGUGUACGUACAAGCAGUGGGAGCACAGAGCAAUCUGUGUGACUGCGUACCUUUUGUAUAAUGGGUCAGCGACUUAUAUUCUGUAGCAAGGUUAACCGAAUAGGGGAGCCGAAGGGAAACCGAGUCUUAACUGGGCGUUAAGUUGCAGGGUAUAGACCCGAAACCCGGUGAUCUAGCCAUGGGCAGGUUGAAGGUUGGGUAACACUAACUGGAGGACCGAACCGACUAAUGUUGAAAAAUUAGCGGAUGACUUGUGGCUGGGGGUGAAAGGCCAAUCAAACCGGGAGAUAGCUGGUUCUCCCCGAAAGCUAUUUAGGUAGCGCCUCGUGAAUUCAUCUCCGGGGGUAGAGCACUGUUUCGGCAAGGGGGUCAUCCCGACUUACCAACCCGAUGCAAACUGCGAAUACCGGAGAAUGUUAUCACGGGAGACACACGGCGGGUGCUAACGUCCGUCGUGAAGAGGGAAACAACCCAGACCGCCAGCUAAGGUCCCAAAGUCAUGGUUAAGUGGGAAACGAUGUGGGAAGGCCCAGACAGCCAGGAUGUUGGCUUAGAAGCAGCCAUCAUUUAAAGAAAGCGUAAUAGCUCACUGGUCGAGUCGGCCUGCGCGGAAGAUGUAACGGGGCUAAACCAUGCACCGAAGCUGCGGCAGCGACACUGUGUGUUGUUGGGUAGGGGAGCGUUCUGUAAGCCUGUGAAGGUGUACUGUGAGGUAUGCUGGAGGUAUCAGAAGUGCGAAUGCUGACAUAAGUAACGAUAAAGCGGGUGAAAAGCCCGCUCGCCGGAAGACCAAGGGUUCCUGUCCAACGUUAAUCGGGGCAGGGUGAGUCGACCCCUAAGGCGAGGCCGAAAGGCGUAGUCGAUGGGAAACAGGUUAAUAUUCCUGUACUUGGUGUUACUGCGAAGGGGGGACGGAGAAGGCUAUGUUGGCCGGGCGACGGUUGUCCCGGUUUAAGCGUGUAGGCUGGUUUUCCAGGCAAAUCCGGAAAAUCAAGGCUGAGGCGUGAUGACGAGGCACUACGGUGCUGAAGCAACAAAUGCCCUGCUUCCAGGAAAAGCCUCUAAGCAUCAGGUAACAUCAAAUCGUACCCCAAACCGACACAGGUGGUCAGGUAGAGAAUACCAAGGCGCUUGAGAGAACUCGGGUGAAGGAACUAGGCAAAAUGGUGCCGUAACUUCGGGAGAAGGCACGCUGAUAUGUAGGUGAAGUCCCUCGCGGAUGGAGCUGAAAUCAGUCGAAGAUACCAGCUGGCUGCAACUGUUUAUUAAAAACACAGCACUGUGCAAACACGAAAGUGGACGUAUACGGUGUGACGCCUGCCCGGUGCCGGAAGGUUAAUUGAUGGGGUCAGCGCAAGCGAAGCUCUUGAUCGAAGCCCCGGUAAACGGCGGCCGUAACUAUAACGGUCCUAAGGUAGCGAAAUUCCUUGUCGGGUAAGUUCCGACCUGCACGAAUGGCGUAAUGAUGGCCAGGCUGUCUCCACCCGAGACUCAGUGAAAUUGAACUCGCUGUGAAGAUGCAGUGUACCCGCGGCAAGACGGAAAGACCCCGUGAACCUUUACUAUAGCUUGACACUGAACAUUGAGCCUUGAUGUGUAGGAUAGGUGGGAGGCUUUGAAGUGUGGACGCCAGUCUGCAUGGAGCCGACCUUGAAAUACCACCCUUUAAUGUUUGAUGUUCUAACGUUGACCCGUAAUCCGGGUUGCGGACAGUGUCUGGUGGGUAGUUUGACUGGGGCGGUCUCCUCCUAAAGAGUAACGGAGGAGCACGAAGGUUGGCUAAUCCUGGUCGGACAUCAGGAGGUUAGUGCAAUGGCAUAAGCCAGCUUGACUGCGAGCGUGACGGCGCGAGCAGGUGCGAAAGCAGGUCAUAGUGAUCCGGUGGUUCUGAAUGGAAGGGCCAUCGCUCAACGGAUAAAAGGUACUCCGGGGAUAACAGGCUGAUACCGCCCAAGAGUUCAUAUCGACGGCGGUGUUUGGCACCUCGAUGUCGGCUCAUCACAUCCUGGGGCUGAAGUAGGUCCCAAGGGUAUGGCUGUUCGCCAUUUAAAGUGGUACGCGAGCUGGGUUUAGAACGUCGUGAGACAGUUCGGUCCCUAUCUGCCGUGGGCGCUGGAGAACUGAGGGGGGCUGCUCCUAGUACGAGAGGACCGGAGUGGACGCAUCACUGGUGUUCGGGUUGUCAUGCCAAUGGCACUGCCCGGUAGCUAAAUGCGGAAGAGAUAAGUGCUGAAAGCAUCUAAGCACGAAACUUGCCCCGAGAUGAGUUCUCCCUGACUCCUUGAGAGUCCUGAAGGAACGUUGAAGACGACGACGUUGAUAGGCCGGGUGUGUAAGCGCAGCGAUGCGUUGAGCUAACCGGUACUAAUGAACCGUGAGGCUUAACCUU